This 774-nucleotide ribosomal RNA is filed under the name uncultured Neocallimastigales. Its description in RNAcentral is "partial large subunit ribosomal RNA". It matches the Rfam family "Eukaryotic large subunit ribosomal RNA", at positions 26 to 635 of the family's 3401-position model. The record is from RNAcentral. Lineage: Eukaryota; Fungi; Neocallimastigomycota; Neocallimastigomycetes; Neocallimastigales.
CGCAUCUGUGCAUGCAGCAUAUCAAUAAGCGGAGGAAAAGAAACUAACAAGGAUUCCCCUAGUAACGGCGAGUGAAGCGGGAAGAGCUCGAAUUUGAAAUCUUAAAGGGUUUCCCUUUACGAAUUGUAGUUUAAAGAAGUGUUUUCUGUUGAGGUUUUGGUAAAAGUUCUUUGGAAUAGGACAUCAUAGAGGGUGAGAAUCCCGUAUUUGACCUUUACUUUCAACUUUGUGAUACACUUUCAAAGAGUCGGAUUGUUUGGGAAUGCAGUCCAAAAUGGGUGGUAAAUUUCAUCUAAAGCUAAAUAUUGGCGAGAGACCGAUAGCGAACAAGUACCGUGAGGGAAAGAUGAAAAGAACUUUGAAAAGAGAGUUAAACAGUACGUGAAAUUGUCAAAAGGGAAGCGUUUGACACCAGUGUUGUUUUUCUGAAAAUCAAUUAAAGAACUGUUUAUGCUAAGCUGUUUAGACUUUAUCAGCUAUCUGUUUAGUUUUGAGCUUUUCUUUAAUGCACUUUUCAGUUAACAAGUCAACAUCAAUUUCUUUUGCUGUAAAAAAGCUUGAGGAAGGUGGCUUGAGAUUCGUCUUAAGUGUUUAUAGCCUCUUGCCUAUGCAGUCGGAGAGAUUGAGGUCUGCAGCGUAGAUCCUUCGGGGCUAAAUGCAUUUGUGCUAAGUUAUAGCAUUUUAUAGACAACUUGUUGACUAUGAUCUGUCUUGUAGCUUACUCGCUUAUGUUAUUUUACCUACGCUUAGGAUGUUGAACGCGCACAGAGUCUC